UGGGCUAGAAUGCAGUCUGACCGCGGGUGAAAGCUCGUUUUGUAGCAAUACACAGAUUGUAAGGUGCUGCAUGGCUGUCGUCAGCUCGUGCCGUGAGGUGUUGGGUUAAGUCCCGCAACGAGCGCAACCCCCAUCAUUAGUUGCCAUCAGGUAAAGCUGGGAACUCUAGUGAAACUGCCGUCGUAAGACGCGAGGAAGGAGGGGAUGAUGUCAAGUCAUCAUGGCCUUUAUGCCCAGGGCUACACACGUGCUACAAUGGGGAGGACAAAGGGCUGCCACUUGGCAACAAGGCGCUAAUCCCAAAAACCUCUUCUCAGUUCAGAUUGGAGUCUGCAACUCGACUCCAUGAAGCUGGAAUCGCUAGUAAUCGUAGAUCAGCAACGCUACGGUGAAUACGUUCCCGGACC
RNAcentral lists this ribosomal RNA (407 nucleotides) under uncultured bacterium. RNAcentral's name for it is "bacterial SSU rRNA". It matches the Rfam family "Bacterial small subunit ribosomal RNA", at positions 976 to 1380 of the family's 1533-position model. The record is from RNAcentral.